RNAcentral lists this long non-coding RNA (1177 nucleotides) under Rattus norvegicus (Norway rat). RNAcentral describes it as "long non-coding RNA NONRATT012004". The record is from RNAcentral. Lineage: Eukaryota; Metazoa; Chordata; Mammalia; Rodentia; Muridae.
CUAAUGCUUUAUGAUUUUUUUAAUGCUUAAAUUCAUGUAUCUUUUAUCUCCCCUGUAAAAAGUGUAUAUAUUGAGAUCAAUAUCCCCGUCCUGUCAUUGUUCACAUUAUUUUGGGGAGUUUUGUCCUUAUUAUUUUAAAUAUCCUUUAACCUUCUUUGAUGUAGAAAGUAAAAACCCCUGUUUUACAUUAUGAAUUUUUAUUCAGAUUAACACGUGUUGUUUUUAUAGUUGUAAUAAUUAUGCCUUAAUUUGUUUCCCAAAUAUAUAUACAUAUAUAUAUGUAUACACACACAUACACGGUCAGAGUAUUCCUUGUAUCAAAAUCAAAGGAUUUUCUUUUUGUUAUUCUCCAUCAAUAGUUAAAAAUCAUGUUAGAUUUUUUUCCCCCUUGUUUUUCUGGCAGUGGGGUGGUGGUCCAAACUUUGGGCUCAGUUCUGUGCAUUUGAACACAGGGCGUCCAAGCAGGGACAGUGUCCUCGUGGGCUGGGGUGCCGCUCCCUCUCGGUGCAGCUUCAUGUACUUAGGUCGUCAUUCAAGGAAAUUGUUGGUUUCUCUUCUGUUUUCUUUUGUCUGUAUUUAAUCAUUUUUAUAGUUAUUUUCUUUUUCUUCUAAUGGAGUUUUUAAAGAAAAUAUUUGGUCUGCAUCCCAUUGUGAGAAAUAAAGCCUCAUUCUGUGUUUUGUUAGGGAAUUUUAACUAAAUUCACAUUUUUUUUUAUUAUAUGUAAUGUAAGAACUUUAUGGAAAAGAAUUUUAAAAGUAAAUUUUAGCAAGUAAUAUUUUAAUUCACUAAUUUAUAAAACAUUGAUCAUUAUUCUUCCUUUCAGAAACAGUGGGAGCCCAGAGUGUAUGAAAUGUCUGCAGAAACUCAUCUAACUCUCUUACAUAGUCAGCACAGUAAAAAAAAAAAAAAAAAAAGACACUAAAUAAACAUUUGUUUUGGUCUGUAUAAAAUGUAAAUUAGUUUGACACUGCAUUUUUGAUGGGUGUGCUAAUUUCUGCCCAUGGCAGUUUAAAACAUUAGAGUCUGAAUCCUGGACAGAUUCAAACCUUGACACACUGUGGGAUUUUUCUUUUGCUUUUAUUUUUCUUAUGAUCUUGACCCCUAACCCUCAUUGUGACAUUUGGUGUGUUAACUUUAAAUGUAGUUUUAAAUAAAGUUUGAACUUAUCUGUAAAGU